UGAUUAUGGCUCAGGAUGAACGCUAGCUACAGGCUUAACACAUGCAAGUCGAGGGGCAGCAUGGUCUUAGCUUGCUAAGGCCGAUGGCGACCGGCGCACGGGUGAGUAACACGUAUCCAACCUGCCGUCUACUCUUGGACAGCCUUCUGAAAGGAAGAUUAAUACAAGAUGGCAUCAUGAGUCCGCAUGUUCACAUGAUUAAAGGUAUUCCGGUAGACGAUGGGGAUGCGUUCCAUUAGAUAGUAGGCGGGGUAACGGCCCACCUAGUCUUCGAUGGAUAGGGGUUCUGAGAGGAAGGUCCCCCACAUUGGAACUGAGACACGGUCCAAACUCCUACGGGAGGCAGCAGUGAGGAAUAUUGGUCAAUGGGCGAGAGCCUGAACCAGCCAAGUAGCGUGAAGGAUGACUGCCCUAUGGGUUGUAAACUUCUUUUAUAAAGGAAUAAAGUCGGGUAUGGAUACCCGUUUGCAUGUACUUUAUGAAUAAGGAUCGGCUAACUCCGUGCCAGCAGCCGCGGUAAUACGGAGGAUCCGAGCGUUAUCCGGAUUUAUUGGGUUUAAAGGGAGCGUAGAUGGAURUUUAAGUCAGUUGUGAAAGUUUGCGGCUCAACCGUAAAAUUGCAGUUGAUACUGGAUAUCUUGAGUGCAGUUGAGGCAGGCGGAAUUCGUGGUGUAGCGGUGAAAUGCUUAGAUAUCACGAAGAACUCCGAUUGCGAAGGCAGCCUGCUAAGCUGCAACUGACAUUGAGGCUCGAAAGUGUGGGUAUCAAACAGGAUUAGAUACCCUGGUAGUCCACACGGUAAACGAUGAAUACUCGCUGUUUGCGAUAUACUGCAAGCGGCCAAGCGAAAGCGUUAAGUAUUCCACCUGGGGAGUACGCCGGCAACGGUGAAACUCAAAGGAAUUGACGGGGGCCCGCACAAGCGGAGGAACAUGUGGUUUAAUUCGAUGAUACGCGAGGAACCUUACCCGGGCUUAAAUUGCAGAUGAAUUACGGUGAAAGCCGUAAGCCGCAAGGCAUCUGUGAAGGUGCUGCAUGGUUGUCGUCAGCUCGUGCCGUGAGGUGUCGGCUUAAGUGCCAUAACGAGCGCAACCCUUGUUGUCAGUUACUAACAGGUUCCGCUGAGGACUCUGACAAGACUGCCAUCGUAAGAUGUGAGGAAGGUGGGGAUGACGUCAAAUCAGCACGGCCCUUACGUCCGGGGCUACACACGUGUUACAAUGGGGGGUACAGAGGGCCGCUACCACGCGAGUGGAUGCCAAUCCCCAAAACCUCUCUCAGUUCGGACUGGAGUCUGCAACCCGACUCCACGAAGCUGGAUUCGCUAGUAAUCGCGCAUCAGCCACGGCGCGGUGAAUACGUUCCCGGGCCUUGUACACACCGCCCGUCAAGCCAUGGGAGCCGGGGGUACCUGAAGUGCGUAACCGCGAGGAGCGCCCUAGGGUAAAACUGGUGACUGGGGCUAAGUCGUAACAAGGUAGC
RNAcentral lists this ribosomal RNA (1482 nucleotides) under bacterium mpn-isolate group 5. RNAcentral's name for it is "bacterial SSU rRNA". It matches the Rfam family "Bacterial small subunit ribosomal RNA". The record is from RNAcentral.